GCCCUGUGCCAGCAACAAUGUAACGCAUUCCAGUGACAUUUGACAAUGAGCAGACAGAAGAGGCAUUACACGCGUCUUUAGAAGAAUCAGGCUUCCUACCUUCAAGAGACAGAUGGAGGAGGCUCCAGAACUCUGAGGGAAAUCGUAAUGAGGGGAGAGCAGACACACCAACAACAGUGAUCUGGAUGCCACGCAGUGCUCAGUACCAUGGGAGUCUGACAGAUGGGAGUGAUAGUCCCAGCAGCUCAGGGCGAUCUGCAUGGAUGCUAUGAGGCUUUCCUUGUGUUGCUGAUGUGAUUUGGUG
This 304-nucleotide long non-coding RNA is filed under the name Mus spicilegus (steppe mouse). RNAcentral describes it as "lncRNA (ENSMSIG00000014917.1)". The record is from RNAcentral. Lineage: Eukaryota; Metazoa; Chordata; Mammalia; Rodentia; Muridae.